ACUGUACAGCCUGGUUCUAUGGAGAACACUGAGGUUCUACUGACACACUGUACAGCCUGGUUCUAUGGAGAACACUGAGGUUCUACUGACACACUGUACAGCCUGGUUCUAUGGAGAACACUGAGGUUCUACUGACACACUGUACAGCCUGGUUCUAUGGAGAACACUGAGGUUCUACGGACACACUGUACAGCCUGGUUCUACGGAGAACACUGAGGUUCCACAGACACACUGUACAGCCUGGUUCUAUGGAGAACACUGAGGUUCCACUGACACACUGUACAGCCUGGUUCUAUGGAGAACACUGAGGUUCUACUGACACACUGCACAGCCUGGUUCUAUGGAGAACACUGAGGUUCUACUGACACACUGCACAGCCUGGUUCUAUGGAGAACACUGAGGUUCUACUGACACACUGUACAGCCUGGUUCUAUGGAGAACACUGAGGUUCUACUGACACACUGUACAGCCUGGUUCUAUGGAGAACACUGAGGUUCUACUGACACACUGCACAGCCUGGUUCUAUGGAGAACACUGAGGUUCUACUGACACACUGUACAGCCUGGUUCUAUGGAGAACACUGAGGUUCCACUGACACACUGUACAGCCUGGUUCUAUGGAGAACACUGAGGUUCUACAGACACACUGUACAGCCUGGUUCUAUGGAGAACACUAGGGUUCUCCUGCAGAUUCUGCAGCGCUGAGCUGUGAUUGGCUGCUGAGCUGUUUGCAUGGUGGUGUUGCCAUGGUAACAGGAAGAGCAGCAGAAUCUGAUAGAUCAAUAAUCAAUAAAUGUUCUCAAAGCACAGUUACAAAAGUACAGUUUAAAAACAAACAAGUUCUGUAAUAAAUGUUCUGUAGUAAAUGUUCUCUAAUGGACAUUCUAGAGUAAAUGUUCUGUUCUAAAUGUUCCAUAAUAAAUGUUCCAUCAUGUUCUGUAAUAAAUGGUUGAUAAUAAAUGUUAUAUACUAAAUGUUC
Molecule: long non-coding RNA, 978 nt
Organism: Acanthochromis polyacanthus (spiny chromis)
Lineage: Eukaryota; Metazoa; Chordata; Actinopteri; Pomacentridae
Exons: 2
Source: RefSeq, a predicted model, not a curated record